CCUGGAGACGUGGAAAAGGUGCGUGCGCACACACUCACUCACAGACAGCUUCUACAUACAGUGCCAGUCUGUUCACUGACGGAACCACUGCAGCUCGUCAACACUCCCAUCCGUGCCUCCCCCCCAGGCCCACAGCAGGAUCACCCUCCCUUGCUGACCUGAGACGACUCCCGGCUUCUGCGGGUGAAGUGUGAGUGGAAGCGACAUGCGCGGGAGCUGUAAGAGCCUCCUGUGCUGGGCUUUCUCCUUGCCCUCGGUCAUCAGCACUGCUGUGUUCCAGAGCGACUCCUCCUUCAGCCGGGGCCCUGAGUUUCAGUUUGGAAGCGUGGAGGAGCAUGACUGUGGUGUUGGACAGCCAGGAGUUCAAAGCCAAGCUCGACAUUUGCUGUGGACCUCGUCAGACCUUCAUACCUCCAGUCUGCUUUUUGAUCAAUAAAGUCGUAAGACAAUUAUCUGACAACAAUCUCAAUUUUACAUUAAUGCUCCACUGAAAUUAUCUUCAUAAAGGUCAUGAAUACCCUCUUAAUUUUAAAAUCUAAUAAACAUUUAGCUCCUAUCUUA
Equus quagga is the source of this 561-nucleotide long non-coding RNA. RefSeq lists it as uncharacterized. The record is from RefSeq and is a predicted model, not a curated record. NCBI's taxonomy places the organism in Eukaryota, Metazoa, Chordata, Mammalia, Perissodactyla, Equidae. The transcript is spliced from 2 exons.